AGAGAAUAGAUACCCAGGUAGUCCACGCUGUAAACGAUCGGUACUAGGAUUGGUGGGAGUUGACCCCUGCCGAUCCGGAGCUAAACGCGAUAAGUACCGCGCCUGGGAAGUACGGUCGCAAGACUAAAACUCAAAGGAAUUGACGGGAGCCCGCACAAGCGGUGGAUUAUGUGGUUUAAAUUCGAAGCAACGCGCAGAACCUUACCUAGGUUUGACAUCCUUUGACAACUGCAGAGAUGUAGCUUUCGUAGCAAUACGACAAAGAGACAGGUGCUGCAUGGCUGUCGUCAGCUCGUGUGGUGGCAUGUCGGGUUAAGUUCCCUCAACGAGCGCAACCCCUGUUUUUAGUUGCCAGCAUUAAGUUGGGCACUCUAGAAAGACUGCCGUGGUUAACACGGAGGAAGGCGGGGAGUGACGUCAAGUCCUCAUGGCCCUUACACCUAGGGCGACACACGUAAGUACAAUGGUUGGUACAGAGGGAAGCGAAACAGCAAUGUGGAGCAAAUCUCAAAAACGCCAAUCUCAGUUCGGAUUGAAGUCU
RNAcentral lists this ribosomal RNA (541 nucleotides) under uncultured bacterium. Its description in RNAcentral is "bacterial SSU rRNA". It matches the Rfam family "Bacterial small subunit ribosomal RNA", at positions 773 to 1306 of the family's 1533-position model. The record is from RNAcentral.